GUUCAGUGGAGGUCGGAUAACGCAAGUUGGUAUUCAAGAUCAAGAUCAAGACAAGGCGAAGACUUCGAAGUGUAAGAGGAGAUCUAACCCGUUCUCUUGCAGAGUCCCACCCCUUUGUACCGCCCCCUCCCAACAAACGUUCGGCGAUCUUGUUGAUGUUGUCCUUGCAUGUAGUUUCAAAGUUUACCUCACAAUGUCUUGGCAUUUUUUGAGAUGCAUAUUGGUCGAAGCCAGUGAUGCUUUUUCAUUAGGAGACUUGUCUUACUGGACAUUUCUGUCAGGGUUGAUACUUCAAGUCGUCAGUUGCCAUAUUUAUUUUCAAUAAUUGUCAUGAUUUGAUACUUCAAAUAGUGAAAUGUUUUUAAACAAAAGAAAUACCAAAUCUAACUUCUUUUAAACAAAAAUAAAUAAUUCCAUUUAAAGUAUAAGCCAUUUUUCUUUUUAAGUAAAAAAUUAAACUGUGUAAUCAAAGCAUUUCAAGUAAUUUGUGCACUUUUCUCUAUAGCCUUCAAUUUGAUGGUGAAUGUUCGAUAUAGGAGUAUUGAAUAUAUAAUUUAGACAUUAGCUAAAUUAAUAUUUACAUAUUCCUUAUAUCAGCAUUACAUCAAUUCUGAAUGUAGACAAAGUCCGUGACAAUUUAUUUAUAAUAUUGAAGAAAUUAAGUAAAUCAUAUUAAACUCAAUGCUCAAACAGACCAAAGGUUAAACAAAAUUGAGCCAAGCUCAAGUCCCUUAAUUCAAAUUUUGUGUAUUAAAGCUUAGGGCUCAUAGACAAUAGCUUCUUCGAAUUGCUUAUUUGCGAGCGUUGCGAGAUAUUAAAAAAAAAUAAAAUAAAAAUCGAAACGGUUACAAGAUAAGAAAGACUGAAGAGGACACAAGAGGACUUAAAGGAGGUGAACAGAGCAGAUCAUCAGUGAAGCGUGUUGCCUUGGUAAUGUAUGAAUGGUAAGAUAGUCCAGGCCUAGGGGAUUUAUAGUUAGUUAGCCUAGAGAUAAGACUAACUCUCUCUUUCAGCAUGUUCCUGAGGCAAUAGGUAAAGUAUAAGGUGGUGUAGUGCUUAGUCUUGAUUCAAGUGUCUUGAAGCAAAACUAACUACUAUGCCAUCAUCAGUAAAUGCCGUACUUUAGAUGUCCCUGAUGAGUGACUGGAAGCAAGUGAGGUCAGGUGUUUGCAGCAAUGGUUAAGUAUAACAGGUUAAGUAUCUGAGUAGCGACCGAAUAACAAUUCCUUUCUUCACAGGGUCUAAUAACAAGCGUUUUUUUUCACAACCUUUUAACAAGCGUUUUUUUCACAGCCUUGUAACAAGCGUUUUUCCAAAACCUUUUAACAAACGGGGUUUUUUCACAGCCUUUUAACAAACGUUUUUUCCACAGCCUUUUAACAAACGUUUUUACCACAGCCUUUUACCAAACGUUUUUUCCACAGCCUUUUAACAAUCUUUUGUUUUCACAGCGACUCUCCCUUUAUUUGCAUUCAUGGGUAAGUAUAACAUGGUAUAACAAGUCAAGUAUGAGGUUAAUUGGGAAAGAAAAUUAACGAUUCCUCCACAGCUUUUUACCUUUAAUCUGCACUCUUUUAAUACCUGACCAUCUUUUUUAUUUUUCAGUUUGUAGAGGUCAGUGAGGUCAAUUAGGUCAGAUCUUUGCAGCAAAGGUUAAGUGCCAGGUGAAGUAUUUGGGUAAAGUAUCUGGUAAGUCUGCUCCACUGGUCCUAACCUUCCUUUUUGCAUGGUAUUGAUGGCGUUUUUGUUUUGUCAACAGAUUGUGACAUGCAAGCUGUGAAGAGAUGGCUGCUUGAGGACACCGUAGCUGAUAUUGGUUUGAUCGUAAUUUCUUCUUGGAGAUGAUGUCGAGUGUAUGAGAUGACGUCUUUACUGAGCCGAGGUGAUGCCUUUAAAGCAGGAUCAGUGGUCCUGCAAGAGGAUUGGUAAUGUAUUGGUAGUAUCAUGGAGGUAGAAAUAACCCUAACCCUUACCCUAUUUCUACUUCCAAGGUAGUAUCAAUUACAAGUUUUUGGUGGAGAGAUUUCCUAAUUAUUUGACAACAACUCAUUUUUAGAAAUUUAGAAGAUUGUGAGGAAAUAAAAACCUUAGUUUAUUGAUGACUUUGAAGGAAAAACGAAACAUGCGCCAAAGAAUUUUUUUAAUCUGUUAGACAAAGUAGAGACCGUUGUUACCAUUAUUGUCACUCGAGAUUCUACAACAGUAAGUAUGAACGACCAGCCAACUUGAGAACCAGAUGUAUUUUCUUUGUACAAUCCAAGCAAACUGAAGUUCCUCCUAAGUCAUUAGAAGUUGACUCUUCUUGCAGUUUAUCGUAAAGAUGUGUAAAAUAAUCAAUAAAUUUGGGUUUUUUUUAACUAAAUUUACCCUCAGUUGAGCAGUCUCUUGCGGAGUGGUGACUACAACUGGACCUGUUUGGAUGAGCAUCGUAGGAGGGGAGUGGUCCCUAUAACCUGUUUGGAUGACCAUCAUUUUGAGGACAGGAGCACAGAGUCAACAGCAUACGACACGUUGAGCAGUCUCUUGUAGAGUGGUGACUACAACCGGACUUUGUAUAUGGGCAUCGUUUGAAGACACAGGUGAGAGCUGCAUGUUGAGCUAAACCUUCUCGCGGUGACUACAACUGGACCUGUUUGGAUUAGCAUUGGAGGAAACAAGUACAAAGAGUCAACAACGGACCCCAUGAUUGAGACGAUAACCUUAGAGAUGACAUAGGCCUACACCCACUUAAGGGUCUAAGAGCUCUUGUUUGACUGUACCACCAUCUGACGAAAGACUGUGUCAAGUCUACCCAGAUGUCGGUCCACUGUCUCUUCAACUGUGAAUUCAAGUGACAUGUUAUGGAUGUUGAGGCUUAACUGACGCUUUUUGGACUGUGUGUCGCCAAGUGAAGGACUGUGUGAAGUCUAUAAAGAAACUCAACUACAAGUUUAUCCAAUGAAGUGACGCAUGGUGAUGUUGAUGAACUUUGUGACAGAUGCUUUGGGUUGUCAUCAACUAAAGAUAGACUUUGUCAAGUCUAGCCAGGGAUGUUGAGGCUUAACCAACGCUUUUGGGGGAUGUGUGCCACCAACUGAAGGACUGCGUGAAGUCUAUAAACAUGGCUCCCACUUCAAGUUUAUCAAAUGAAGUGACGCAGACACUUUGGAUUGUCGCCAACUAGAGAUAGACUUUGUCAAGUCUAGCCAGGGAUAUUGAGACUAAACCAACGCCUUUGGACCGUGUGCCACCAACUGAAGGACUAUGUGAAGUCUUUAAAGAUCACUCUCCCUCCACUACAAGUUUAUCCAAUGAAAUGAGUGAGCAUUGAUAAACUUUGUAUCAAACACUUCUGAUUGUCGCCAACUAAAGAUAGACUUUGUCAAGUUUAGCCAGAUGGCUCCCCACUUGUUCAACUAAAGCAAACUGUAACAUGACGAAGCCGUAUUAGAUAUAAAGACACUUGAGUACAGGUUGAACCUCGCUCCUCAUGCUAAAUAAUAUUAAUAUUUUUUAUUCAAAAAAAAAUCGAAAGCGUGUUUUUAAGUCCCUCGACAACAUUUUGAAAACAAACCAAAUAUCUUUUCUGGUAAACUUAACUCAAGUUUUCUUAGCGUUUUUUGGUAGAUUAGUCGUUUAGCUUUUCAGCAUAGGCUCAUACAAACAACGCCCAUGAACGAUUAAACUGGCAAAACUCCAUCUUUGAAAACAAUUCUUGUAAAUUUAGAUAAGAAAUAUUUAAUGUUAUUACGGAAAAUUUUUCAUAAUCAGUGACAUUUCCAGAUGUAUCCAUCAGAGUAUAGAAAGAUUUGUUUAAUUUUCAUGGACUCCCUUGCAGCAGAAUCAGUGAGUGGCAAAUCUGCAUUGUGAUAAAAUUGGCACGCCUGGGAUGGGGUCGAUUUCACAAAGAGUUAAGACUUGUCUUUUCUCGAGUUAUAGGCAAGUUACUCGUUCCGUCCUAACUUUGGACUAGCCUCAAGUUUAUAAUAUCUCCUGGGACUAGUGCUAACACUUCGUGGAAUCGACCCUUUGGUGCAGUUUGUUUAAUUGCUUUUGUUUGCUAAAACUAUUGACUACAAAUAAGUGUAAAAAUGUCAUUUAGUUUAAAUAUGCAGGGGAAGAUUUUGACACAAUUUAGACUGAAGUCGAUCUCAGCCAUUUCAAAACCUUGGUAAUUAAAGCUCAGGUUGGGUCACUUUAUAGUUAACUUUGUCAAUUAAUAUAUUUUCCAAUGGUUGAAAUCUGAACAAAAUCGUUAUACAAAUUCCUAUUUGUUCUUAGUAUGCAUUUUGCUUAUGAGUGCUUUGUGUUGCUGUUUUUUUUUUGUAAAGAGAGGCUUUGCAUAAGGCGCUUUAUAAAUGUUCCAUUAUUUUUAAUAAAUUAUACAAAUUAUAAUAUUGUGCUAAGGUAAUAGAGGUACUAACAUUAUUAUUAUUAUUAUUAUUUAUUAUAAACGUCACGUUAAAAAACAUGAAAAUUGUUUUCCAGUGUGCAUCAUACAAUAAAAACACU
Long non-coding RNA from Asterias rubens (European starfish), 4491 nucleotides. RefSeq lists it as uncharacterized. NCBI's taxonomy places the organism in Eukaryota, Metazoa, Echinodermata, Asteroidea, Forcipulatida, Asteriidae. The transcript has 5 exons. The record is from RefSeq and is a predicted model, not a curated record.